GGUGAGUGCGGGCGGCUGGCUGGGCGGGACGGAGCUGCCGGCUGUGGGGCAGCAGUCUGGCAGCUCCUCCAUCUCAAGGACUCUGCUUUUGGCUGGAGCUGGGGCAUGGAGAGGGCCUUUUCCUUUCAUGCUGAUUCAUGCAUUCAAGCCCCAUGCUGGAAGAAAGGAGGGGGUGGAGCUCAGCACUUGGAACAAAGUUCAGACAUGAAGGGGCCGGCAGACUGGGAUGGAAUUUAUACCAUAUGUACCAGGCAUGAGUGGAAUGUUUGGCAUCUUGGCUGGGCCAGAGCAGCCUGUACGGAAGAGUUGGGCCUUACUCUGUGAUCACCGCAGCUUGCACGAUAGCAGCCUUGUGCUCUGCUGCCUGCGCUGCUGGCUAACUAGCACCAGUUCUUCAGUGGCAAGCUUUACGUCCGUCUAGUAGCUAAAGCUGCCAGUUGAAGAACUGUUGAAUGUAGCCACUCUCGUCUUGUCACUUGGGUUGUCUGAUGUCAGCUGGAUGCACGCAUUGGGAGAGCAGGAUGGGGCUGAUGUGCCUCAGUCUCUGAAUCCUGGCACCCUAUAGUUUUAAUAUUGAACCUCAAAAGGAAGCUUUUCCAUAAACCAAGGAGACUGUUGAAAGAUCUGUCAAUCUUCUUCUCUAGUGGCCUGUUCCUCCCUCCUGUGCAUGCCCCUGCCCCUGCCCCUGCCCCAGCAUGCAGAAGCUGGAUGGACAGCAGCCCUGUUGUGCACACCCUUGGAAGGGUAGCGUGGAGCGUGCCCCCUGUGGUACUGCCAAGCACCAUCCCAAGAGGUGCAUACAGGCUGUUCCCCCGAGCACCAUGGACAUUGCUGCUG
Long non-coding RNA from Gopherus flavomarginatus (Mexican gopher tortoise), 837 nucleotides. RefSeq lists it as uncharacterized. The transcript has 4 exons. The record is from RefSeq and is a predicted model, not a curated record. Lineage: Eukaryota; Metazoa; Chordata; Testudines; Testudinidae.